RNAcentral lists this ribosomal RNA (96 nucleotides) under Pseudomonas avellanae. The record is from RNAcentral. Lineage: Bacteria; Pseudomonadati; Pseudomonadota; Gammaproteobacteria; Pseudomonadales; Pseudomonadaceae.
GAACCACCUGAUCCCAUCCCGAACUCAGCAGUGAAACGAUGUAUCCGCCGAUGGUAGUGUGGGGUUUCCCCAUGUGAGAGUAGGUCAUCGUCAAGA